RNAcentral lists this ribosomal RNA (460 nucleotides) under uncultured bacterium. RNAcentral describes it as "partial 16S ribosomal RNA". It matches the Rfam family "Bacterial small subunit ribosomal RNA", at positions 338 to 795 of the family's 1533-position model. The record is from RNAcentral.
CCUACGGGUGGCAGCAGUGAGGAAUAUUUGUCAAUGGACGAGAGUCUGAACCAGCCAAGUAGCGUGAAGGAUGACUGCCCUAUGGGUUGUAAACUUCUUUUAUGUGGGAAUAAAACGUUCCACGAGUGGGAUUUUGUGUGUACCAUAUUAAUAAUGAGCGGCUAACUCCGUGCCAGCAGCCGCGGUAAUACUGAGGAUCCGAGCGUUGUCCGGAUUUGUUGGGUGUAAGGGGAGCGUAGGUGGUUUGUUAAGUCAGUUGUGAAAGUUUGCGGCUCAACCGUAAAAUUGCAGUUGAAACUGGCAGUCUUGAGUACAGUAGAGGUGGGCGGAAUUCGCGGUGUAGCGGUGAAAUGCUUAGAUAUCACGAAGAACUCCGAUUGCGAAGGCAGUUCACUGGACUGCAACUGACACUGAGGCUCGAAAGUGUGGGUAUCAAACAGGAUUAGAUACCCUAGUAGUC